GCUGGUAUGCUCAGUGGUUGGAGCAUUGGCCUGUGCACCGAAGGAUUGCAGGUUCGAUUCCUGCCCCCGGUU
Myotis lucifugus (little brown bat) is the source of this 72-nucleotide non-coding RNA. The record is from Rfam. NCBI's taxonomy places the organism in Eukaryota, Metazoa, Chordata, Mammalia, Chiroptera, Vespertilionidae.